RNAcentral lists this ribosomal RNA (466 nucleotides) under uncultured bacterium. Its description in RNAcentral is "bacterial SSU rRNA". It matches the Rfam family "Bacterial small subunit ribosomal RNA", at positions 509 to 973 of the family's 1533-position model. The record is from RNAcentral.
CAGCAGCCGCGGUAAUACGAACUGUGCAAACGUUAUUCGGAAUCACUGGGCUUAAAGGGUGCGUAGGCGGGCAGGUAGGUCAGACGUGAAAUCCCACGGCUCAACCGUGGAACUGCGUUUGAAACCACUUGUCUUGAGGGGAUCAGAGGAGAGCGGAACUGAUGGUGGAGCGGUGAAAUGCGUUGAUAUUAUCAGGAACACCGGUGGCGAAGGCGGCUCUCUGGGAUCCUUCUGACGCUGAGGCACGAAAGCUAGGGGAGCGAACGGGAUUAGAUACCCCGGUAGUCCUAGCUGUAAACGAUCUGUACUAGUCCGUGGGGACCCCCACAUCUUCUCGGACGUAGCGAAAGUGUUAAGUACAGCGCCUGGGGAGUAUGGUCGCAAGGCUGAAACUCAAAGGAAUUGACGGGGGCUCACACAAGCGGUGGAGGAUGUGGCUUAAUUCGAGGCUACGCGAAGAACCUUA